AGAGUUUGAUCCUGGCUCAGGAUUAACGCUGGCGGCGUGCAUAACACAUGCAAGUUGAACGAGAAUCUUUAGAAUUGAGUUUUCGGACGAUAUUUUGAAGAGGAAAGUAGCGGACGGGUGAGUAACACGUGAGGAACCUGCCAUUCACAGAGGGAUAGCAACCGGAAACGGUUAUUAAUACCUCAUGAGACCAUCAUUUCGCAUGAAAAGAUGGUUAAAGAAAUUCGGUGAAUGAUGGCCUUGCGUCUGAUUAGCUAGUUGGUAGGGUAACGGCCUACCAAGGCGACGAUCAGUAGCCGGCUUGAGAGAGUGAACGGCCACAUUGGGACUGAGACACGGCCCAGACUCCUACGGGAGGCAGCAGUGGGGAAUUUUGCACAAUGGGCGCAAGCCUGAUGCAGCGACGCCGCGUGAGCGAUGAAGGUCUUCGGAUUGUAAAGCUCUGUCCUGGGUGAAGAUAAUGACGGUAAUCCAGGAGGAAGCCCCGGCUAACUACGUGCCAGCAGCCGCGGUAAUACGUAGGGGGCGAGCGUUGUCCGGAAUUAUUGGGCGUAAAGGGUACGUAGGCGGACAGUCAAGUUUGACGUCAAAGCCCAGAGCUUAACUCUGGUAAGCGUUAAAAACUGGCUGCCUUGAGUGGUAGAUGGGAUCGUGGAAUUCCUAGUGUAGCGGUGAAAUGCGUAGAGAUUAGGAAGAAUACCAGUGGCGAAAGCGACGAUCUGGAUACCAACUGACGCUGAGGUACGAAAGCGUGGGGAGCAAACAGGAUUAGAUACCCUGGUAGUCCACGCUGUAAACGAUGAGUGCUAGAUGUCGGGGGUCAAACCUCGGUAUCGCCGUUAACACAUUAAGCACUCCGCCUGGGGAGUACGCACGCAAGUGUGAAACUCAAAGGAAUUGACGG
RNAcentral lists this ribosomal RNA (904 nucleotides) under human gut metagenome. RNAcentral describes it as "bacterial SSU rRNA". It matches the Rfam family "Bacterial small subunit ribosomal RNA", at positions 8 to 916 of the family's 1533-position model. The record is from RNAcentral.